GCUGGCAUAUAUGAUGACUGAAUUUUUUCCCCGGCAGAUCGACCAUGUUGAUCGCUUUCCUUUGCCAGUUUCUUGUCUGAUGUGCCAGC
Small nucleolar RNA from Sorex fumeus (smoky shrew), 89 nucleotides. RefSeq annotates it as small nucleolar SNORD12/SNORD106. The record is from RefSeq and is a predicted model, not a curated record. Lineage: Eukaryota; Metazoa; Chordata; Mammalia; Eulipotyphla; Soricidae. The transcript has a single exon.